RNAcentral lists this unclassified non-coding RNA (456 nucleotides) under Hevea brasiliensis (rubber tree). Lineage: Eukaryota; Viridiplantae; Streptophyta; Magnoliopsida; Malpighiales; Euphorbiaceae. The record is from RNAcentral.
UAGUGUGUUAAUUUUUGAGUUACCAUCAAUAAUGAUGAUUUGUAAUAUAGAUAAACUUGUUAGUUUUCAUUCACUAUAACCAACUGAUUAGAUUAAAAAAUAACAUUAAUGUUUCAGGGAGUAAAAUAUAAUUUACAGGGACUAUUUUGGUCUUUGUAAUUAAAUGAGGACUUAAUUGAAUUAAAUAUUCGAAAUUAUGUGGUUAAAUAUUAUAUAUUUAGCCGUUUAGGGUUAAUUUGUAAUUAAUUUAAAGAGAUAAAUUAACAAAUUAAAAUAGUUGGCACACUAUAUAAAAUGGGUGCUAUAUGACCCAAAUUUAGUGAUAGAAGAGUGCAAUUUGUGUAGAUUACUUGGAGGCCGAACAUGUGAACGGUUAGUGAUUUGCAAUAAUUAUUUAUUAUAAGGUACAUAAUCAUAUUAUUUUCUAUGCACUCGUUAAAAUCAGAUCCUGUGGGA